This 249-nucleotide long non-coding RNA is filed under the name Elaeis guineensis (African oil palm). RNAcentral describes it as "long non-coding RNA (EGUI_LNC035590)". Lineage: Eukaryota; Viridiplantae; Streptophyta; Magnoliopsida; Arecales; Arecaceae. The record is from RNAcentral.
UCUCUCUGCCACAUAGCCGAGGUCGAGCCGUCCCUCUCCUUGUUCAGGCAUUUUUACACCUUCAAACGCCAUCCUUCGGCGAAGGACUGGUGGUACUUCUCCCCCCAGUUUGGCAAGAAGGGGUUGCUGAAGGGUGCCCCUUCUUCGAUUCACAAUUGGAAGGAGAAAUUUCUCUUUGUCUACUGCCCGACCCUGGAACUGGGCCUGCCCCCUUGGGGGUCUCUGAGGGAUUCCGUCCGCCGGGCUCCC